GACGAACGCUGGCGGCGUGCUUAACACAUGCAAGUCGAACGGAAAGGCCCUGCUUUUGUGGGGUGCUCGAGUGGCGAACGGGUGAGUAACACGUGAGUAACCUGCCCUUGACUUUGGGAUAACUUCAGGAAACUGGGGCUAAUACCGGAUAGGAGCUCCUGCUGCAUGGUGGGGUUGGAAAGUUUCGGCGGUUGGGGAUGGACUCGCGGCUUAUCAGCUUGUUGGUGGGGUAGUGGCUUACCAAGGCUUUGACGGGUAGCCGGCCUGAGAGGGUGACCGGCCACAUUGGGACUGAGAUACGGCCCAGACUCCUACGGGAGGCAGCAGUGGGGAAUAUUGCACAAUGGGCGGAAGCCUGAUGCAACAACGCCGCGUGCGGGAUGACGGCCUUCGGGUUGUAAACCGCUUUCGCCUGUGACGAAGCGUGAGUGACGGUAAUGGGUAAAGAAGCACCGGCUAACUACGUGCCAGCAGCCGCGGUGAUACGUAGGGUGCGAGCGUUGUCCGGAUUUAUUGGGCGUAAAGGGCUCGUAGGUGGUUGAUCGCGUCGGAAGUGUAAUCUUGGGGCUUAACCCUGAGCGUGCUUUCGAUACGGGUUGACUUGAGGAAGGUAGGGGAGAAUGGAAUUCCUGGUGGAGCGGUGGAAUGCGCAGAUAUCAGGAGGAACACCAGUGGCGAAGGCGGUUCUCUGGGACUUUCCUGACGCUGAGGAGCGAAAGCGUGGGGAGCGAACAGGCUUAGAUACCCUGGUAGUCCACGCUGUAAACGGUGGGUACUAGGUGUGGGGUCCAUUCCACGGGUUCCGUGCCGUAGCUAACGCUUUAAGUACCCCGCCUGGGGAGUACGGCCGCAAGGCUAAAACUCAAAGGAAUUGACGGGACCCCGCACAAGCGGCGGAGCAUGCGGAUUAAUUCGAUGCAACGCGUAGAACCUUACCUGGGUUUGACAUGGAUCGGGAGUGCUCAGAGAUGGGUGUGCCUCUUUUGGGGUCGGUUCACAGGUGGUGCAUGGCUGUCGUCAGCUCGUGUCGUGAGAUGUUGGGUUAAGUCCCGCAACGAGCGCAACCCUUGUUCACUGUUGCCAGCACGUUAUGGUGGGGACUCAGUGGAGACCGCCGGGGUCAACUCGGAGGAAGGUGGGGAUGACGUCAAGUCAUCAUGCCCCUUAUGUCCAGGGCUUCACGCAUGCUACAAUGGCUGGUACAGAGAGUGGCGAGCCUGUGAGGGUGAGCGAAUCUCGGAAAGCCGGUCUCAGUUCGGAUUGGGGUCUGCAACUCGACCUCAUGAAGUCGGAGUCGCUAGUAAUCGCAGAUCAGCAACGCUGCGGUGAAUACGUUCCCGGG
Molecule: ribosomal RNA, 1342 nt
Filed under: uncultured bacterium
Lineage: Bacteria
Description: 16S ribosomal RNA
Rfam family: Bacterial small subunit ribosomal RNA
Source: RNAcentral